Molecule: long non-coding RNA, 283 nt
Organism: Hyposmocoma kahamanoa
Lineage: Eukaryota; Metazoa; Arthropoda; Insecta; Lepidoptera; Cosmopterigidae
Exons: 3
Source: RefSeq, a predicted model, not a curated record
GCCGCCGCUGCCCUGCACUACGCCGGUAGCCCUAUGACAACACUAUGAAAAUAUGCUGAAAAACACUCUGCAAUAACAAUUGGAAAUAGCUACUCAAACGAAGUUCUCGAAGCGAGACUUAAACAUUUGAAAGGCUUGCCGCCGGCGCCGCCGCUUCUGCCACCUGUACCCCUUGCCGAUACCGCCCCGUGGACAUCUCUUGCAGCCGUUGGUGCGAAGAUGCAAGAUAUCGAAAUUUGAUGCUGUUACUGGGAAGACAAUGCUGAAGCGGAACUUACUAGGU